UACGUAGGUGACCAGCGUUGUCCGGAUUUACUGGGCGUAAAGAGCGCGCAGGCGGUCGUUCAAGUCGAGUGUGAAAGCCCCCGGCUCAACUGGGGAGGGUCAUUCGAUACUGAUCGACUUGAAGGCAGGAGAGGGAAGCGGAAUUCCCGGUGUAGUGGUGAAAUGCGUAGAUAUCAGGAAGAACACCCGUGGCGAAGGCGGCUCUCUGGGACGGUACUGACGCUGAGACGCGAAAGCGUGGGGAGCGAACAGG
Molecule: ribosomal RNA, 253 nt
Filed under: uncultured bacterium
Lineage: Bacteria
Description: partial 16S ribosomal RNA
Rfam family: Bacterial small subunit ribosomal RNA
Source: RNAcentral